Molecule: ribosomal RNA, 649 nt
Filed under: Escherichia coli
Lineage: Bacteria; Pseudomonadati; Pseudomonadota; Gammaproteobacteria; Enterobacterales; Enterobacteriaceae
Description: partial 23S ribosomal RNA
Rfam family: Bacterial large subunit ribosomal RNA
Source: RNAcentral
AUAAUGGGUCAGCGACUUAUAUUCUGUAGCAAGGUUAACCGAAUAGGGGAGCCGAAGGGAAACCGAGUCUUAACUGGGCGUUAAGUUGCAGGGUAUAGACCCGAAACCCGGUGAUCUAGCCAUGGGCAGGUUGAAGGUUGGGUAACACUAACUGGAGGACCGAACCGACUAAUGUUGAAAAAUUAGCGGAUGACUUGUGGCUGGGGGUGAAAGGCCAAUCAAACCGGGAGAUAGCUGGUUCUCCCCGAAAGCUAUUUAGGUAGCGCCUCGUGAAUUCAUCUCCGGGGGUAGAGCACUGUUUCGGCAAGGGGGUCAUCCCGACUUACCAACCCGAUGCAAACUGCGAAUACCGGAGAAUGUUAUCACGGGAGACACACGGCGGGUGCUAACGUCCGUCGUGAAGAGGGAAACAACCCAGACCGCCAGCUAAGGUCCCAAAGUCAUGGUUAAGUGGGAAACGAUGUGGGAAGGCCCAGACAGCCAGGAUGUUGGCUUAGAAGCAGCCAUCAUUUAAAGAAAGCGUAAUAGCUCACUGGUCGAGUCGGCCUGCGCGGAAGAUGUAACGGGGCUAAACCAUGCACCGAAGCUGCGGCAGCGACGCUUAUGCGUUGUUGGGUAGGGGAGCGUUCUGUAAGCCUGCGAAGGUGUG